RNAcentral lists this ribosomal RNA (253 nucleotides) under uncultured bacterium. RNAcentral's name for it is "partial 16S ribosomal RNA". It matches the Rfam family "Bacterial small subunit ribosomal RNA", at positions 524 to 776 of the family's 1533-position model. The record is from RNAcentral.
UACGAAGGUCCCGAGCGUUGUUCGGAAUCACUGGGCGUAAAGGGAGCGUAGGCGGCGUGGCAAGUCAGAUGUGAAAUCCCGGGGCUCAACCCCGGAACUGCAUCCGAUACUGCCGUGCUAGAGGAUUGGAGAGGUAGCUGGAAUUCACGGUGUAGCAGUGAAAUGCGUGGAUAUCGUGAGGAACACUCGUGGCGAAAGCGAGCUACUGGACAACUCCUGACGCUGAGGCUCGAAGGCCAGGGUAGCGAAAGGG